Molecule: ribosomal RNA, 440 nt
Filed under: uncultured bacterium
Lineage: Bacteria
Description: partial 16S ribosomal RNA
Rfam family: Bacterial small subunit ribosomal RNA
Source: RNAcentral
CCUACGGGGGGCUGCAGUGGGGGAUAUUGCACAAUGGGGGAAACCCUGAUGCAGCGACGCCGCGUGGGUGAAGAAGCGCCUCGGCGCGUAAAGCCCUGUCAGCAGGGAAGAAAAUGACGGUACCUGAAGAAGAAGCCCCGGCUAACUACGUGCCAGCAGCCGCGGUAAUACGUAGGGGGCAAGCGUUAUCCGGAUUUACUGGGUGUAAAGGGGGCGCAGACGGCGAUGCAAGCCAGGAGUGAAAGCCCGGGGCCCAACCCCGGGACUGCUCUUGGAACUGCGUGGCUAGAGUGCAGGAGGGGCAGGCGGAAUUCCUGGUGUAGCGGUGAAAUGCGUAGAUAUCGCGCAGAACUCCGAUUGCGAAGGCAGCGUACCGGCGCCAGACUGACGCUGAGGCACGAAAGCGUGGGGAUCGAACAGGAUUAGAUACCCGGGUAGUC